UACAGAGGUCCCAAGCGUUGUUCGGAUUCACUGGGCGUAAAGGGUGCGCAGGUGGGCUGUCAAGUUCGAUGUGAAAGCCCCGGGCUUAACCCGGGAAUGGCAUUGAAAACUGAUGGUCUGGAGGAUUGGAGGGGGGACUGGAAUUCUUGGUGUAGCAGUGAAAUGCGUAGAUAUCAAGAGGAACACCAGUGGCGAAGGCGAGUCCCUGGACAAUUCCUGACACUGAGGCACGAAAGCCAAGGGAGCAAACAGG
This 253-nucleotide ribosomal RNA is filed under the name uncultured bacterium. Its description in RNAcentral is "partial 16S ribosomal RNA". It matches the Rfam family "Bacterial small subunit ribosomal RNA", at positions 524 to 776 of the family's 1533-position model. The record is from RNAcentral.